RNAcentral lists this ribosomal RNA (253 nucleotides) under uncultured bacterium. RNAcentral's name for it is "partial 16S ribosomal RNA". It matches the Rfam family "Bacterial small subunit ribosomal RNA", at positions 524 to 776 of the family's 1533-position model. The record is from RNAcentral.
UACGAAGUGGGCUAGCGGUGAUCGGACUAACCGGGCGUAAAGGGCACGAGGACGGAUUUGCAAGUCAGGGGUGAAAUCCCGGGGCUCAACCUCGGAACUGCCUUUGAUACUGCAAGUCUAGAGUCCGGAAGAGGUGAGUGGAAUUCCUAGUGUAGAGGUGAAAUUCGUAGACAGUAGGAAGAACACCAGUGGCGAAGGCGGCUCACUGGUCCGGAACUGACGCUGAGGAGUGAGAGCGUGGGCAGACAGUAGG